UUUGCAUGGUGCUACCACUGUCUGUAACUGCUCUCCCUGGAGAAAUAUUGCCUAAUUUCUGGAAAAGCGAUCUCAGAAAGGAGCAGACAGUUCUGCAGUUGCGUUAUAGAUUUGAAGGAUGUAUUCAGGCUGUCAAACUGACGUGAAAAAAAUAAAGACAGAAACUAAAGCCUACCGAUCACAGAGUAAAAGUGAACCACCGCAUGACCUGACUAUUGAGAAAGAGGACAACAAUAUGAGGGAUUAACACUUUUCCUGCAAAGCUGGGUUCCCUUGAUGUCUCUCCCAAACCAAAAAGCCUUGCAGGGUGCCUCCAGAAAUGUUCCUUCAGUCACAGGGAGGCCCGUCACGGGUCCCCUACGCAAGGUCACCAUGUUUGAAUGCUGUCACCUCCACUUAGAGCCAGGCAAAGCAACAGACCUCUCCCUGUAGCCUCCUCCUAACCUGUCACAGAAACUACAGUUAUAAUCACUUCUGGCUUGUUUUGCGAUUGACUUCAGAUACUCUUAGAUUUAUUUAUUCCAGCAUUCUUUGCCCUCUGCCUCAUUACACUAAUGUCUCGCUGUCUACAAAUGGUGUUGUUUUGUUGUAUGUGUACUGUGCACUGUAGUUUGUGUGUUCUUGUUUAGCCUGUUGUCCUGUUUGUUUCUGCUAUGUUUAUGUACACUGUGAGCUUUGUAAGACCAGAGUCAAAUUCCACGUAUGUGUACACGUACCUGGCCAUUAAAAGUGAUUCCGAUUCCGCCUUUAAUCUCUUAAUAAUUUACAUUUCUAAGCUUUAAACCAAACAUGUACAACAUCGGGUAAGUGUUUGGUUUGACUGAUAUUACAAAACAGUGCUCAAGCCAGCUAAUGAUGAAGUUUCUGCAUUCCCUUUUUGAGCCAUUGUUGUGCACAUCUGUGUUUUUGGUGGCAGCACAGGAAAAAGCCAAAGAACUCGGCAGCAUCUGCACUGUAGUACAAAUGCAAAACCCUACUAAUUAUUGGGAAAAGAUAACAUUUUAUUAAAGGGUUUUUUCCUUUGACAUAAUUUUCUAUUUUACAAGGAGAGUAUAGAUUAUAGAGUGUAGCUCAUUUAUAUCACAUGACCGAUGCAUUAAAAAAAGUAUUUUUUCU
Molecule: long non-coding RNA, 1116 nt
Organism: Micropterus dolomieu (smallmouth bass)
Lineage: Eukaryota; Metazoa; Chordata; Actinopteri; Centrarchiformes; Centrarchidae
Exons: 2
Source: RefSeq, a predicted model, not a curated record